RNAcentral lists this ribosomal RNA (373 nucleotides) under uncultured eukaryote. RNAcentral describes it as "partial 18S ribosomal RNA". It matches the Rfam family "Eukaryotic small subunit ribosomal RNA", at positions 592 to 976 of the family's 1831-position model. The record is from RNAcentral.
CAAUAGCGUAUAUUAAAGUUGUUGCAGUUAAAAAGCUCGUAGUUGAAUUUUUGCUUGCCGCCGAUGUCGGAACUUCCGUACGUUCGGCGGCGUGCAUCCUUGGGUGGAACCUGUGUGGCAUUAGGUUGUCGUGCAGGGGAUGCUCAUCGUUUACUGUGAAAAAAUUAGAGUGUUCAAAGCAGGCUUACGCCGUUGAAUAUAUUAGCAUGGAAUAAUAAGAUAGGACCUUGGUACUAUUUUGUUGGUUUGCGCACCGAGGUAAUGAUUAACAGGGACAGUUGGGGGUAUUCGUAUUCCAUUGUCAGAGGUGAAAUUCUUGGAUUUCUGGAAGACGAACUACUGCGAAAGCGUUUACCAAGGAUGUUUUCAUUAA